Molecule: non-coding RNA, 864 nt
Organism: Meleagris gallopavo (turkey)
Lineage: Eukaryota; Metazoa; Chordata; Aves; Galliformes; Phasianidae
Source: the annotation of a RefSeq genome assembly
CAAGGCUCCACCUCCGCCACGGCUCCCGUCCUCUUCCCAUUGGUUCCCUGCUCCCCCUCGGCCACUCUCUACACCGUCGGCUGCGCCGCCUUCAACUUCCAACCCAACACCAUCAGCUUUUCCUGGGCCGACUCCUCCAACCGAAGCGUCACAGCCUUGAAUUUCGGUUCUGUCAUCACCUCCGGUCGAGGUUAUCGGGCCACCAGUCGUCUCCAGAUGACCCAAACUGAAGGAAAAGAGAGGCAACCCUUCCGGUGCCGCGCCACUCAUCCCCAAGGCAACGCUGAGAUCACCGUCACAAAUUCCGAUCCCCUGCCUCCCACCCCUCUCCUCCUCACCAUCCACCCUCCAUCCCGAGAAGACUUCGAAGGUCCUUUCCGCAACGCUUCCGUCCUUUGCCAAACCCGCGGCCGCCGGCAACCCAAAGCGGUCACGUGGUACAAAAAUGGCGUCUCCAUCCCCGGCGGCGUCACCACCGUCGCCAAAGCCGGCACCGAAACGGUGGCCGAGAGUCGAGUCGAAGUCACCGAAGGCGAAUGGGAUUCUGGGGUCAUCUUCAGCUGCCUCGUGGAUGGGGAGAUGAGGAACACCAGCAAGAGGAUGGAGUGCGGGCUGGACCCCAUCGCUCAGCCUGACAUCACCGUCCUCGCCAUCCCUCCUUCCUUCGUGGAUAUUUUCAUUUCUGGGGAUAAAAAUCUGAGUUUCAGUCCCAUGAAACCCAACGUUUUUGGAAUAGCUCCCCACAUUCUACCACAAGGCUUCAUUUUUGGGGAAAAAUACCCCAAAAAUCUGAGUUUCAGUCCCAUGAAACCCAACUUUUUUGGAAUAGCUCCCCACAUUCUACCAUGAGCCUUGAGUUUGGGG